RNAcentral lists this ribosomal RNA (185 nucleotides) under uncultured bacterium. RNAcentral's name for it is "partial 16S ribosomal RNA". It matches the Rfam family "Bacterial small subunit ribosomal RNA", at positions 1314 to 1500 of the family's 1533-position model. The record is from RNAcentral.
GCCUUCAUGAAGCUGGAAUUGCUGUAAUGGCAGGUCAGCAUACUGCCGUGAAUACGUUCCCGGGCCUUGUACACACCGCCCGUCACACCAUGAGAGUUGGGAAUACCCGAAGCCUGUGAGCUAACUUAUAGAGGCAGCAGUCGAAGGUAGAAUCAAUGAUUGGGGUGAAGUCGUAACAAGGUACC